Molecule: long non-coding RNA, 508 nt
Organism: Molossus molossus (Pallas's mastiff bat)
Lineage: Eukaryota; Metazoa; Chordata; Mammalia; Chiroptera; Molossidae
Exons: 3
Source: RefSeq, a predicted model, not a curated record
CUCCCUGCGCUGCAGCUCUUCUUCCAAGUGAGGAAGAACUGUGUGAUUGGAUUAAUUGCAAAGUGUUUUAAGAAUGUGAGACACUUUGGAGCCCUGAGCCAUGUAAAAAGUCCAAUUGCUGUGGGGAUGCCACAUGUGGGUAUUCUGGCUGAUUGCUGUAGCUGAGGUUCCAACCAACAGCUAGAAUCAAGCACUAGACAUGGUGGCAACAUGCUGGGCGCUGCUGAAUGAAAGCCUUAGGUGUUGAAGAGAAGGACGUGGGAACCAAGCCUCUGGGAAGCUGGCCAGGUUGUGUACGUGUGACCUCAUGUGGUCCUCCUGUCAACGUAUUUUUAAGAGGUGGAAACUGAGGAGGCUCAGGUUAAGCCACUUGCCAGAGGUCACAGCUUGGGACUUGGGUGUGUGUGACUACAGCAUUCAUGUUCUAACUGACAUCAUGCCACCUAAGGUUUUAAGUGCCUGUGUUAGAAUUUCAUAGGAAGAACCUCUCUCUCAAAAAAACAAACAA